This 425-nucleotide ribosomal RNA is filed under the name uncultured bacterium. Its description in RNAcentral is "partial 16S ribosomal RNA". It matches the Rfam family "Bacterial small subunit ribosomal RNA", at positions 354 to 796 of the family's 1533-position model. The record is from RNAcentral.
GUGGGGAAUAUUGGACAAUGGGCGAAAGCCUGAUCCAGCAAUGCCGCGUGAGUGAUGAAGGCCUUAGGGUUGUAAAGCUCUUUUACCCGGGAUGAUAAUGACAGUACCGGGAGAAUAAGCUCCGGCUAACUCCGUGCCAGCAGCCGCGGUAAUACGGAGGGAGCUAGCGUUGUUCGGAAUUACUGGGCGUAAAGCGCACGUAGGCGGCUUUGUAAGUUAGAGGUGAAAGCCUGGAGCUUAACUCCAGAACUGCCUUUAGGACUGCAUCGCUUGAAUCCAGGAGAGGUGAGUGGAAUUCCGAGUGUAGAGGUGAAAUUCGUAGAUAUUCGGAAGAACACCAGUGGCGAAGGCGGCUCACUGGACUGGUAUUGACGCUGAGGUGCGAAAGCGUGGGGAGCAAACAGGAUUAGAAACCCCAGUAGUCC